Meriones unguiculatus (Mongolian gerbil) is the source of this 316-nucleotide long non-coding RNA. RefSeq lists it as uncharacterized. The transcript has 3 exons. NCBI's taxonomy places the organism in Eukaryota, Metazoa, Chordata, Mammalia, Rodentia, Muridae. The record is from RefSeq and is a predicted model, not a curated record.
GGACCAACGAUCAUCUCCAGAAAAGUGGAGUAGCAAUAUGGAAGGGUUCUGAGAGCCGUGCGAACACGUUGGCAGGAUUCUAGCCAUGAAAUUGGUUUUCUACCAGGACUGACCACGGCUAGCUGGAGCUUCUGGCAAUAACAGCUCUGGGAGAACGUGUGCUCCACAGAGGGGGAGUCCUAACUGUGUGAGGACCACUUGCGAACACUUCUGUGGAAUUUGCAGAGGCAGAGGUCAAGGCUUCUAAGUGUGGAGGGACUACAGAGAUGGCUCAGCGGUUAAGAACACUUGCUGCUCUUGCAGAGGACCUGGAUUU